Non-coding RNA from Grus americana (Whooping crane), 1857 nucleotides. The record is from the annotation of a RefSeq genome assembly. NCBI's taxonomy places the organism in Eukaryota, Metazoa, Chordata, Aves, Gruiformes, Gruidae.
AGGAGAACAAGAAGAACAAGAAGAACAAGAAGAACAAGAAGAACAAGACCAGAAGAAGCAGAAGCAGAAGCAGAAGCAGAAGAAGAAGAAGAAGAAGAAGAAGAAGAAGAACAAGAAGAACAAGACAAGAAGAAGAAGAAGAAGAAGCAGAAGAAGAAGAAGAAGAAGAAGACAGAAGAAGACAAGAAGACGACGACAAGAAGAAGAAGAAGAAGAAGAAGAACAAGAACAAGAAGAAGACAAGAAGAAGCAGAAGCAGCAGCAGCAGCAGCAGAAGAAGACAGAAGAUGAAGAAGACAACAGAAGAAGAAGACGACAAAAAGACGACGACGACGACGAGAAGAACGAGAAGAACAACAAGAAGAAGAAGAUGGGAGGGGGGGUUGUCCAUGUCGACCGCCCUCCACCUCAAAAAAAAAAAUUAACGAGGUUCUUCUCUUCCGCAGUCAAGGCCAACGUUCCCGCCGUCUACCCGUUGAUCUCCUGCGAUGGCUGCGAGGACAAGAACGUCAGCUUCGGUUGCUUGGUCAACGAUUUCUUCCCCGAACCCGUCGCCGUCACGUGGGUUUCCAGCGUCAAAGGAGAUGUGGAGACCUUCCCGGUCAUCCAAAGUGCAAAUAGUUACUACAGCCUCAGCAGCCAGUUGACCGUCCCGGUCAGCAGCUUGGAAGGCAACAACUUCCAGUGCAAGGUGGUCCACAGCCCUACCUCAACCACCGCCACCAAGGACUUCACGGAAGAUGAUGUUUGCCCCCAUCCUGUGGAGACAAAGCUCCUGGCUGACCCAAACCAGUACCGCGAAGAGCAGAAGGUCCUUCUGCUGUGCCUCGUCGAGGGGGACAAAGCUGGUGAAGCCAAGGUGGAGUGGUUGGUGAACCAUCAGGUGGCGGCCCUGCAACAGGAGGACACCACCUGUGACCAGUGCUCCAAGAAGGGCACCUUUAUGAGCAAGGUCAACGUCAGCCAGCAGAGCUGGAACAACGGAGCCGAGUUCUCCUGCAGAGUGACCCACUCGUCGUUGAAGGUCCCAGCCCUCCUCAACAUCAGCACGUUCUGCUUAGAUGUCCAACGGGAGGUGGUCACCAUCAUCCCCCCAUCCUUGGAGGACCUCUACCUCAGCCAGAACGCCAGCGUCACCUGCGUGGCCACCAACCUGAAAUCGUACGAGGACGUGAAGUUCUCCUGGAACCGGGAUCAAGGUAACUCCUUGGAUGUGACCUCUGGGACGGCGGAGAAGCUGGAGAACGGUCUUUACCGUCUCACCAGCACCUUGAAGAUCUGCGCCGACGAGUGGAACUCCGGCGAGAAGUUCACCUGCAACGCCAACAUUCCCGAGCUUGAUGAACCCAUCAGCAAGUCCAUCAAGAAAGACAUAGACGUCUCCGUGAAGGCACCUUCCGUCUACGUCUUCCCCCCACCGGCCGAAGAACUGGCCCGUCAAGAAACGGCCACCUUGACCUGUUUGGCUUCGGGUUUCCGUCCUCGUGACAUCUUGGUGACCUGGACCCAAGAAGACCGUCCAGUUUCUUCUGAUAGUUUCUCCAUCUUUGGUCCUCAAGAAGAAGGAGAUACCUACACGGUCUACAGCAAGUUGAAGGUGCCGGUGAGCGAAUGGCAACGGGGCGAUUCCUUCGCUUGCGUGGUGGGUCACGACGGCGUCCCCAUGAACUUCGUCCAGAAGAAUUUGGACAAGACCAUCGGUAAACCGACCGCCGUCAACGUCUCGGUGAUCCUGGCCGACGCCGACGUCACCUGCUAUUGAGUUUGGCGCUUGGGGGGUUGUGACUUCCUGCAGCAUCGGGAUAAUAAUAAAAAAGAGGAAAAAAAAAAAAAAGAAAAAAAGGAAAAAAAUUUAAA